Molecule: ribosomal RNA, 865 nt
Filed under: uncultured bacterium
Lineage: Bacteria
Description: bacterial SSU rRNA
Rfam family: Bacterial small subunit ribosomal RNA
Source: RNAcentral
GUCGACGCGUCUCCGUUGAUGAUUUUAGGUGCUUGCACUUGAAAGAUUUAACAUUGAGACGAGUGGCGAACUGGUGAGUAACACGUGGGUAACCUGCCCUUGAAGUAGGGGAUAACACUUGGAAACAGGUGCUAAUACCGUAUAACAACCAAAACCACCUGGUUUUGGUUUAAAAGACGGCUUCGGCUGUCACUUUAGGAUGGACCCGCGGCGUAUUAGCUUGUUGGUAAGGUAACGGCCUACCAAGGCGAUGAUACGUAGCCGACCUGAGAGGGUAAUCGGCCACAUUGGGACUGAGACACGGCCCAAACUCCUACGGGAGGCAGCAGUAGGGAAUCUUCCACAAUGGACGAAAGUCUGAUGGAGCAACGCCGCGUGAGUGAUGAAGGGUUUCGGCUCGUAAAACUCUGUUGUUGGAGAAGAACAGGUGUCAGAGUAACUGUUGACAUCUUGACGGUAUCCAACCAGAAAGCCACGGCUAACUACGUGCCAGCAGCCGCGGUAAUACGUAGGUGGCAAGCGUUGUCCGGAUUUAUUGGGCGUAAAGCGAGCGCAGGCGGUUUUUUAGGUCUGAUGUGAAAGCCUUCGGCUUAACCGGAGAAGUGCAUCGGAAACCGGGAGACUUGAGUGCAGAAGAGGACAGUGGAACUCCAUGUGUAGCGGUGAAAUGCGUAGAUAUAUGGAAGAACACCAGUGGCGAAGGCGGCUGUCUGGUCUGUAACUGACGCUGAGGCUCGAAAGCAUGGGUAGCGAACAGGAUUAGAUACCCUGGUAGUCCAUGCCGUAAACGAUGAGUGCUAAGUGUUGGAGGGUUUCCGCCCUUCAGUGCUGCAGCUAACGCAUUAAGCACUCCGCCUGGGGAGUA